RNAcentral lists this unclassified non-coding RNA (218 nucleotides) under soil metagenome. Its description in RNAcentral is "partial contains 5.8S ribosomal RNA, internal transcribed spacer 2, and large subunit ribosomal RNA". The record is from RNAcentral.
AACCAUUCUCACCUGCGGCUAGACCUGCGGAAGGAUCAUUACCGAGUUUACAACUCCCAAACCCAUGUGAAUCUUACCUUUUCGUUGCUUCGGCGGGAUCGCCCCGGGCGCCAUCGUGUGCCCCGGAUCCAGGCGCCCGCCGGGGGACUUAAACUCUUGUUUUAAUUUGUUUCUCUGAGUGGAUUACACAAAUAAUCAAAACUUUUAACAAUGGAUCU